This 792-nucleotide ribosomal RNA is filed under the name Triticum aestivum (bread wheat). RNAcentral describes it as "partial small subunit ribosomal RNA". The record is from RNAcentral. Lineage: Eukaryota; Viridiplantae; Streptophyta; Magnoliopsida; Poales; Poaceae.
AUGGGUGACUAUCUAGCACAGUUCAGAGAGCACGUGUAUGUAGUCUGCGCUGGUGAAUGGAAGCCCCCGCCGCAAAAAAGAAGCGGCUCUUCCCACGGCUCUGUCACCAUUGACUCUAUUUAUUAUUAUGGUAAAUCAUUGUAUCAAGAUGUCAAUCUUAGAUCUUAUUUUAGUUCGAUACGUCCACCUACGAAACUCGCCCUUGGCUUUCGUCUCAGUAGGUGUAUUAUUCUACAUUUUCCCAAAAGGACAUUCAUUCAUUUCUUUCUUCCUGGGCGAUCACCACGACUAAAACGAAAAAAAGAUAAGAAAUCAAGACCCGUACUACAGGAAAAGGGCUGGUGGCCGACAUUUGGGAAAGUCGGGCCGAUCGGGUGUCUUCAUUCAAGCGAGGGUACAGAGGAAGAACGAAACGAAGUGAGAGGCCGGGGGGCAGGGAAAAGAGUCGAGUCGAUCGACCGGGAGAAGCAAAACGAAAUCCGGAUUUGGCCGAAAAAGAUGCAACGUUAUGGAUACCAUGACCGAUCACCAUCGAGAAAGAAGAAUUUUGAUAAAUCACUUCGGGUGAGCGGGGCCUUCAAGCGGCCUCAAUACGCCGGGGUUGUAAAUGACAUACCUUUCCUUAUGGGAAAUGCCGCCUCCUUACUAAAAAGGAAUAGAAUCAAGUUAUUUUUACCAAAGAAGUCCCGCUCUGACGGCCCGACGAGUCAUCUACUAAAAAGGACCCUCCCCGCUGUGCGCCCCUCCUUGAAUUAUUCGGUCAUGCAAUACUUUUUUAAUACUAAGAACUGA